AGCCGGAAUUGCUAGUAAUGGCAGGUCAGCAUACUGCCGUGAAUACGUUCCCGGGCCUUGUACACACCGCCCGUCACACCAUGAGAGUUGGAAAUACCCGAAGCCUGUGAGCUGACGAGUUACGGGGCAGCAGUCGAAGGUAGAGCCAAUGAUUGGGGUGAAGUCGUAACAAGGUAGC
This 178-nucleotide ribosomal RNA is filed under the name uncultured bacterium. RNAcentral describes it as "partial 16S ribosomal RNA". It matches the Rfam family "Bacterial small subunit ribosomal RNA", at positions 1324 to 1500 of the family's 1533-position model. The record is from RNAcentral.